This 819-nucleotide ribosomal RNA is filed under the name Bacillus pumilus. Its description in RNAcentral is "bacterial SSU rRNA". It matches the Rfam family "Bacterial small subunit ribosomal RNA", at positions 546 to 1368 of the family's 1533-position model. Lineage: Bacteria; Bacillati; Bacillota; Bacilli; Caryophanales; Bacillaceae. The record is from RNAcentral.
CGGAUUUUGGGCGUAAGGGCUCGCAGGCGGUUUCUUAAGUCUGAUGUGAAAGCCCCCGGCUCAACCGGGGAGGGUCAUUGGAAACUGGGAAACUUGAGUGCAGAAGAGGAGAGUGGAAUUCCACGUGUAGCGGUGAAAUGCGUAGAGAUGUGGAGGAACACCAGUGGCGAAGGCGACUCUCUGGUCUGUAACUGACGCUGAGGAGCGAAAGCGUGGGGAGCGAACAGGAUUAGAUACCCUGGUAGUCCACGCCGUAAACGAUGAGUGCUAAGUGUUAGGGGGUUUCCGCCCCUUAGUGCUGCAGCUAACGCAUUAAGCACUCCGCCUGGGGAGUACGGUCGCAAGACUGAAACUCAAAGGAAUUGACGGGGGCCCGCACAAGCGGUGGAGCAUGUGGUUUAAUUCGAAGCAACGCGAAGAACCUUACCAGGUCUUGACAUCCUCUGACAACCCUAGAGAUAGGGCUUUCCCUUCGGGGACAGAGUGACAGGUGGUGCAUGGUUGUCGUCAGCUCGUGUCGUGAGAUGUUGGGUUAAGUCCCGCAACGAGCGCAACCCUUGAUCUUAGUUGCCAGCAUUCAGUUGGGCACUCUAAGGUGACUGCCGGUGACAAACCGGAGGAAGGUGGGGAUGACGUCAAAUCAUCAUGCCCCUUAUGACCUGGGCUACACACGUGCUACAAUGGACAGAACAAAGGGCUGCAAGACCGCAAGGUUUAGCCAAUCCCAUAAAUCUGUUCUCAGUUCGGAUCGCAGUCUGCAACUCGACUGCGUGAAGCUGGAAUCGCUAGUAAUCGCGGAUCAGCAUGCCGCGGUGAAUA